RNAcentral lists this ribosomal RNA (305 nucleotides) under uncultured bacterium. Its description in RNAcentral is "bacterial SSU rRNA". It matches the Rfam family "Bacterial small subunit ribosomal RNA", at positions 334 to 656 of the family's 1533-position model. The record is from RNAcentral.
UUCGCCUACGGGGGGCAGCAGUCGGGAAUAUUGCGCAAUGGAGGAAACUCUGACGCAGUGACGCCGCGUGCAGGAAGAAGGUUUUCGGAUUGUAAACUGCUUUAGACAGGGAAGAUAAUGACAGUACCUGUAGAAUAAGCUCCGGCUAACUACGUGCCAGCAGCCGCGGUAAUACGUAGGGGGCAAGCGUUAUCCGGAUUUACUGGGUGUAAAGGGAGCGUAGACGGCCAGACAAGUCUGAAGUGAAAAUCCAGCGCUUAACGUUGGAAGUGCUUUGGAAACUGCCGGGCUGGAGUGCAGGAGGG